RNAcentral lists this unclassified non-coding RNA (231 nucleotides) under plant metagenome. Its description in RNAcentral is "partial contains small subunit ribosomal RNA, internal transcribed spacer 1, and 5.8S ribosomal RNA". The record is from RNAcentral.
UCUCCGUUGGUGAACCAGCGGAGGGAUCAUUACUGAGUUACCGCUCUACAACCCUUUGUGAACAUACCUAACUGUUGCUUCGGCGGGCAGAGGUCCCUCGCGGAUCUCUCCCGGCAGCGCCCUCACGGGCGGAGCGCCCGCCGGAGGAUACCAAACUCUAUUUUAACGACGUUUCUUCUGAGUGGCACAAGCAAAUAAUUAAAACUUUUAACAACGGAUCUCUUGGUUCUG